Long non-coding RNA from Neltuma alba, 96 nucleotides. RefSeq lists it as uncharacterized. The record is from RefSeq and is a predicted model, not a curated record. The transcript has 3 exons. Lineage: Eukaryota; Viridiplantae; Streptophyta; Magnoliopsida; Fabales; Fabaceae.
UAACGGUAAAGAGGAAGAAAAUGACGCCGUCGAGCUUCCUUUGGUCCUCUGAUUCUGUCGCAACACGGAGAGGGAAAAAAAUGAUCGCCGUCGCUG